GAUCAUGGCUCAGAACGAACGCUGGUGGCGUGUCUAUACAUGCAAGUCGAGCGAGGCAGCAAUGCCGAGCGGCGAACGGGUGAGUAACGCGUAAGCAAUCUGCCCCAUAUCAGGAAAUACCCGUGCCAACGCGCGGUUAAUGUCCAGGAGAGUGGCCCUCUGCAUGGAGGGUUGACUAGAGAUUUAUCGGUAUGGGAUGAGCUUGCGUCCGAUUAGCUAGUUGGCGGGGCAACGGCCCACCAAGGCGACGAUCGGUAGCCGGCCUGAGAGGGUGAUCGGCCACAUUGGGACUGAGAUACGGCCCAGACUCCUACGGGAGGCAGCAGUAGGGAAUAUUGCACAAUGGGGGAAACCCUGAUGCAGCAACGCCACGUGUGGGAAGAAGCAUUUCGGUGUGUAAACCACUGUCAUGAGGGAAUAAGGCCCUUAUUCGUAAGGGAUUGAAUGUACCUUGAGAGGAAGCACCGGCAAACUUCGUGCCAGCCGCAGC
Molecule: ribosomal RNA, 490 nt
Filed under: uncultured bacterium
Lineage: Bacteria
Description: bacterial SSU rRNA
Rfam family: Bacterial small subunit ribosomal RNA
Source: RNAcentral